UCGAGAAUUUUUCUCAAUGGGGGAAACCCUGAAGGAGCGACGCCGCGUGGAGGAUGAAGGUCUUCGGAUUGUAAACUCCUGUCAUUGGUGAACAAGAUUGCCGGUUAACUGCCGGUUAAUUUGAUAGUAGCCGAAGAGGAAGAGACGGCUAACUCUGUGCCAGCAGCCGCGGUAAUACAGAGGUCUCGAGCGUUGUUCGGAUUCAUUGGGCGUAAAGGGUGCGUAGGCGGCGUGGCAAGUCUGAUGUGAAAUCCCGGGGCUCAACCCCGGAACUGCAUUGGAUACUGCCAUGCUCGAGUACUGGAGAGGAGACUGGAAUUUACGGUGUAGCAGUGAAAUGCGUAGAGAUCGUAAGGAAGACCAGUGGCGAAGGCGAGUCUCUGGACAGUUACUGACGCUGAGGCACGAAGGCCAGGGGAGCAAACGG
This 427-nucleotide ribosomal RNA is filed under the name uncultured bacterium. Its description in RNAcentral is "bacterial SSU rRNA". It matches the Rfam family "Bacterial small subunit ribosomal RNA", at positions 355 to 775 of the family's 1533-position model. The record is from RNAcentral.